ACGAAAAUUCAAUACUAAACCUUAUGCCAUUAAGAAAUAACAAAAACCCAAUUCAAAUUAACAAGAAUUACACAGUAUACAAACCUCUAAAUUAGCAUAGAAGUCACAAAAAAAUCAAUUUUAACUCAUUGAGCUUGAAUCUGGAAGAAGUCUAAACCCAAAAAAAAGCGAGAGAAAGCUUAAAUCUGGGAAGAAUCUGAACCUGGG
This 207-nucleotide unclassified non-coding RNA is filed under the name Hevea brasiliensis (rubber tree). The record is from RNAcentral. Lineage: Eukaryota; Viridiplantae; Streptophyta; Magnoliopsida; Malpighiales; Euphorbiaceae.